Molecule: long non-coding RNA, 385 nt
Organism: Helianthus annuus (common sunflower)
Lineage: Eukaryota; Viridiplantae; Streptophyta; Magnoliopsida; Asterales; Asteraceae
Exons: 3
Source: RefSeq, a predicted model, not a curated record
CAAAAGGGGCGACCAGGAGCUUUUUCUUCAAGCCCUAAAUUCUUCAAAAUCUUACAAAUUGAAGGCCAAGAUCUGUCCCAAAUCGAAGUUAGAGCUAAGAUUAGUGAUCCUCACAGCAAGAGGGUUACAAGGAAAGGACGCAGGAGCGUCAAGCGGGCAAGCGAGUGGCGAACCACGUUUGAAGGGCCUACUUUGAAGUUCUAGGUACUCACGGAUUACGGAUGACGGUCAAGCAAACUUUGAAGAACCGAACACUACAUUUAGAAGCUUCCGCGAUGUUUUAAAUCUUUAGUAGACUUUGUGUAUGGGUUGUAAACACUUGUUAAACUACUUUUGAAAUGUUUUAACCUAGUCAUUAGUUGACUAAGGUUAACGUACUUUUGAA